GCCCUUGUAGCUCAGUGGUAGAGCACUCCCUUGGUAAGGGAGAGGUCCCGGGUUCAAAUCCCGGCGAGGGCA
This 72-nucleotide transfer RNA is filed under the name Prochlorococcus sp. RNAcentral's name for it is "tRNA-Thr". It matches the Rfam family "tRNA". From Rfam's summary of the family: Transfer RNA (tRNA) molecules are approximately 80 nucleotides in length. Their secondary structure includes four short double-helical elements and three loops (D, anti-codon, and T loops). RNAcentral also lists the same sequence under 11 other names. Lineage: Bacteria; Bacillati; Cyanobacteriota; Cyanophyceae; Synechococcales; Prochlorococcaceae. The record is from RNAcentral.